UUUACUGGGUAGCAGACAAGUAAGUGCUCGUGCAGAUUUUCCCCAGCUGUGUGUUCACAGACAGUUUGGGGAAGCAGCCCCCAGGUGCUGCCUGCUGCUCAGGUGCAGAAGUCACCUGUCACAUGGUUUUACCACGCGAUGGAAGGGAGGGAGCCAGCUUCAUCACAGCUGCUCUGUGCUUCAUCUGCACACGUUUGUCUUCAGCAUUAGCCUUGGUUGUUGCUAAAUAUUUAGAGCUGUCAUUUUUCAUUGUACUAGAUGUUUGUUGUAACAGCGACGGGAAGUUCCAAUGUUGUUCUGCAGCGUUACCCAUCAGGUUAAGAGAAAGCAAUGCCCCCGCUUUAGUUUUUAGAGAGAGGUCAACAAGCAAAUGGUUAAUGGUUAACCUCUGUGACAACAGUAAAACUCAUUCUCAGAACUGUAAAAAAAAAAA
This is a long non-coding RNA of Oxyura jamaicensis (ruddy duck), 433 nucleotides long. RefSeq lists it as uncharacterized. The record is from RefSeq and is a predicted model, not a curated record. NCBI's taxonomy places the organism in Eukaryota, Metazoa, Chordata, Aves, Anseriformes, Anatidae. The transcript is spliced from 2 exons.